UGAAAUCUCACCAGGCCCGGACACUGGAAGGAUUGACAGAUUUAUGGCUUAAUUUGACUCAACACGGGAAAUCUCACCAGGCCCGGACACUGGAAGGAUUGACAGAUUGAUACCUCUUUCUUGAUUCUGUGGGUGGUGGUGCAUGGCCGUUCUUAGUUGGUGGAGUGAUUUGUCUGGUUAAUUCCGAUAACGAAUGAGACUCUGUCCUGCUAAAUAGUGUCUGCUUCUCUUUUGAGCAGACAAUUCUUCUUAGAGGGACAGGCGACUCUUGAGCAAUAA
RNAcentral lists this ribosomal RNA (279 nucleotides) under uncultured eukaryote. RNAcentral describes it as "partial 18S ribosomal RNA". The stretch from base 41 to 279 matches the Rfam family "Eukaryotic small subunit ribosomal RNA", at positions 1182 to 1456 of the family's 1831-position model. The record is from RNAcentral.